AAUUUGUUUUCUCAUUUUAAGUAUCUUCUUAAAUUGUUCUUAAUAUAAAGGCAUGAUAGACAAUAGCCUUAAACACCCAUGCCUUGUAAAGGAGAAGCGAGGAAUACGGUUACCAAAGAGACAUAAAAACUCAUAAGUGUAAAAUAAACCAACUAAGCCAUGGCAAAAUAAGACAAAGACAAACAACAGUUAUAGUAUAAAAAAACACGACAUAGAAAUUUUAACACUGAGCAAAUCAAACCUUACCAAAAAAAAACAGGGGUGACCUCAGGUGCCCCGGAAGGGUUAAUAGAUCAUGCUACAAUCUGGCAUCCGUCGUAUUGCUCAUGUAAGUACACAACCGGUGAUAAAUCUAGAUCGGUAGGUCACAUUCGGGGAAUAGGAGAACGGGCCUGUGGUUACGACGACUUGAAAUAUAUCCGCUGAUGGAAUUUGAUACCUAGAAAUGGAAAGUCCACAUUUGGGAGCCUGAAAUCAUUUCUUUUGUUGUAAAGUAUUGUUGCCAACCCACCCGC
RNAcentral lists this long non-coding RNA (515 nucleotides) under Mytilus galloprovincialis (Mediterranean mussel). Lineage: Eukaryota; Metazoa; Mollusca; Bivalvia; Mytilida; Mytilidae. The record is from RNAcentral.